This 29-nucleotide non-coding RNA is filed under the name Rattus norvegicus (Norway rat). Lineage: Eukaryota; Metazoa; Chordata; Mammalia; Rodentia; Muridae. The record is from RNAcentral.
UCCAGACAUUGAUUGCAUGGCCAUGAUAA